Molecule: long non-coding RNA, 1488 nt
Organism: Pipistrellus kuhlii (Kuhl's pipistrelle)
Lineage: Eukaryota; Metazoa; Chordata; Mammalia; Chiroptera; Vespertilionidae
Exons: 2
Source: RefSeq, a predicted model, not a curated record
UUCUUAGAAAAGUGGAAAUUCAAGCCACCAUGAGAUGCCACUAUACACUUCUAGAAUGGCUAAAAUUAAAAGGACUGAAUAUCUCAAGUGUUGGUGGGGAUGUGGAGCAACUGGAGCCCUUAUACCUUCUGUAGGAAUGUAAAAUUUUAAAUUGUUCUGGAAAACAGUUUGUCAGUUUCUUAAAAAGUUUAACAAAUACCCACUGUGCAGUCUAAUCAUUUUGCUCCCAAAUAUAUCCUCAGUAAAGUUGAAAGUUUAUGUACAUACAAUAACUUGUUUGAAAAUGUUUAUAGCUACUUUCUUGGUAAUAGCCAAUAAUGGAAACAAGCCAAAUGUCUAUAAAUAGAUGGACAACAAAAUUGAACCUAUCCAUACCAAAAGAAAUACUAUUGAGAAUAAUACGAAAUAAGCUAUUGAUACAUAAAACAAUGUUACAAAAAUAAAUAUGCUGAGUGAAAGAAGGCAAAUAAAAAAGUCUAAAUACUAUAUGAUUCCAUUUAUAUAAAAUUCCAGAAAAAGCAAACUAUUCUCUGGUGACAGAAACUGGCCAGUGGUUUUGCCUAGUGAUGGAGAUGAGGUUUUAUGUUCAGGAGGAAGACCAAAGGGCAUGAGGAGAUGCUUCAGUCAUAGGUAUGUUCCUAACUUGAGUGUGGUGUCGUUUGUCAAGUGUAAACAUGUAUCAUAGAUAGAUAAAAAUGCAUUUGGCAGUAAAUAGUGUUACCAUUAUACAUCAUUAAAGCUGUUCAAAAAUAAAUAAAAAUUCCAGAUAGAUGAGAAACCCUAAAAAUGAUGCCAACAACAUUAUUGCAUUGGAAAUCAUUAUUGUAAUGCAAAUAAUAGUAUGUAUGGUUCAUAGUUUAAGGAUAUUUUUAACUGUUCUUUACAGUUGUCUUUUGCAUACUCAAUGCAAAAGCUAUCACAAGAGGUUUUCUCUAUGAAAUAAGAAUAAAACAAAAAAGAUGGUGAGAAGGGCAAAAUAAGCUGUAACAAUUUCAUCCUCAUGUUUCUCUGCUUAUUUUUCUUUGUCAGUGCAAUGUUUAAAGGCUGAAUCUGAAGCAACUCAAAGAAAAAUGUUGGAGGAAGUAAAAAAAAGAAUGAACAGAUGUGGGAAGAGAAAGAAAAGAAUUAUCAGGAACGUGUGAAAAGGCUUGAGAAUGUAAUGGCAAACGAAGAGAGGAAUGAAAAACAAAAACUUCAGAAAUGUGAGCGGCUUCUGAAGAAGAAAAAGGAACUUAAGUCAAACAAUUGCCUCUCAACUGAAAGUCGAAACGUGAUGUAUGCAAUUUGUUUUGUUUUGUUAAUCCUCACCCUACAAUAUUUUUUCUAUUGAUUUUUAGAGAAAGCAGAAGGAAGGGGGCAGGUGGAAAGAAAAACAUCAAUGUGUCUGUGAGCCAGUGUUCUAUCCACUGAGCCAAACUUGCUAGAGCUGAUGCUUGCAAUUUUGUUGAACCAUAAACUUUUCAAAGAAGAAAUAAACUGUUAAGACAA